This 109-nucleotide ribosomal RNA is filed under the name Nannospalax galili (Upper Galilee mountains blind mole rat). Lineage: Eukaryota; Metazoa; Chordata; Mammalia; Rodentia; Spalacidae. The record is from RNAcentral.
AUCUACAGCCAUAUCACUCUGAACAUGCCUGAUCUUGUCUGAUCUCAGAAGCUUAGCAGGGUCUCGCCUGGUUAGUACUUAAAUAGGAGAAUUUCACACACUGUGGUUU